This 497-nucleotide ribosomal RNA is filed under the name uncultured bacterium. RNAcentral's name for it is "partial 16S ribosomal RNA". It matches the Rfam family "Bacterial small subunit ribosomal RNA", at positions 28 to 507 of the family's 1533-position model. The record is from RNAcentral.
GAUGAACGCUGGCGGCGUGCCUAAUACAUGCAAGUCGAGCGAACAGACGAGGAGCUUGCUCCUCUGACGUUAGCGGCGGACGGGUGAGUAACACGUGGAUAACCUACCUAUCUGACUGGGAUAACUUCGGAAAACCGGAGCUAAUCCCGUAUAAUCUCUUGAUCCGUGGGGGUCAUUGGUAAAUGACGGUUUUGCUGGCACGAAUCGAUGCAUCCCCGCUGCAUUAGAUAGUUGGUAAGGUAACAGCUUACCAAGGCAACGAUGCGUAGCCGAACUGAGGGAGUGAUAGGCGACCCUGGAACUGAGCCACCGUCCAGACUCCUACGGGAGGCCGCAGUAGGGAAUCUUACGCAAUGGGCGGAGGCCUUACGGAGUGACGCGGAGUGAGUGAUGAAGGCCUUGGGAUCGUAAAAAUCUCUUAUUAGGGAAGAACAAAUGUGUAAGUAACUAUGCACGUCUUGACGGUAACUAAUCAGAAAGCAACGGCUAACUACGUG